AAAGCGUGCGCAGGCGGUUAUGUAAGACAGAGGUGAAAUCCCCGGGCUCAACCUGGGAACUGCAUUUGUGACUGUAUAGCUGGAGUGCGGCAGAGGGGGAUGGAAUUCCGCGUGUAGCAGUGAAAUGCGUAGAUAUGCGGAGGAACACCGAUGGCGAAGGCAAUCCCCUGGGCCUGCACUGACGCUCAUGCACGAAAGCGUGGGGAGCAAACAGGAUUAGAUACCCCUGU
RNAcentral lists this ribosomal RNA (230 nucleotides) under uncultured bacterium. RNAcentral's name for it is "partial 16S ribosomal RNA". It matches the Rfam family "Bacterial small subunit ribosomal RNA", at positions 562 to 791 of the family's 1533-position model. The record is from RNAcentral.